Long non-coding RNA from Arabidopsis thaliana (thale cress), 316 nucleotides. RefSeq annotates it as other RNA. NCBI's taxonomy places the organism in Eukaryota, Viridiplantae, Streptophyta, Magnoliopsida, Brassicales, Brassicaceae. The record is from RefSeq. The transcript has a single exon.
GCAAUUACAAUAGAUAGCUUCCAUGUACAUGCAGAACCGUCCGUUAUAGCUUCCAUGACUACGUGAAACGAUUUUGCUUUUGUUUUGUCGGCCAUUAUAUUAUUUUGAUGAAGCACAAAAGGGCAAUUACGCAAAAGGUUCAGUAAGGAUUACAUUAAAAGAACAGUCCAAACCCAAUUAAAUCACACUUAAAAAGAUAAUUAAUAAACACGCAGAUGAUUUAGUGGCUGAUACGUGUUUUCUACACGCCACGCGAAACCACUGCCUGUUCGCCGGCCACCGCUAGAUUCCGAUGAACCGCCACCAAUCAGCCAUU